AACCCUUGUCCUUAGUUACCAGCACGUUAUGGUGGGCGACUCUAAGGAGACUGCCGGUGCAAACCGGAGGAAGGUGGGGAUGACGGUCAAGUCAUCAUGGCCCUUACGGCCUGGGCUACACACGUGCUACAAUGGUCGGUACAAAGGGUUGCCAAGCCGCGAGGUGGAGCUAAUCCCAUAAAACCGAUCGUAGUCCGGAUCGCAGUCUGCAACUCGACUGCGUGAAGUCGGAAUCGCUAGUAAUCGUGAAUCAGAAUGUCACGGUGAAUACGUUCCCGGGCCUU
This 284-nucleotide ribosomal RNA is filed under the name uncultured Pseudomonas sp. RNAcentral's name for it is "partial 16S ribosomal RNA". It matches the Rfam family "Bacterial small subunit ribosomal RNA", at positions 1100 to 1382 of the family's 1533-position model. Lineage: Bacteria; Pseudomonadati; Pseudomonadota; Gammaproteobacteria; Pseudomonadales; Pseudomonadaceae. The record is from RNAcentral.